This 498-nucleotide ribosomal RNA is filed under the name uncultured bacterium. RNAcentral describes it as "partial 16S ribosomal RNA". It matches the Rfam family "Bacterial small subunit ribosomal RNA", at positions 30 to 523 of the family's 1533-position model. The record is from RNAcentral.
AUUGAACGCUGGUGGCAUGCCUUACACGUGCAAGUCGAACGGUAACAGGUCUUCGGAUGCUGACGAGUGGCGAACGGAUGAGUAAUACAUCGGAACGUGCCUAGUAGUGUGGGAUAACUACUCGAAAGAGUGGCUAAUACCGCAUGAGAUCUACGGAUGAAAGCAGGGGAUCGCAAGACCUUGUGCUACUAGAGCGGCCGAUGGCAGAUUAGGUAGUUGGUGGGAUAAAAGCUUACCAAGCCGACGAUCUGUAGCUGGUCUGAGAGGACGAUCAGCCACACUGGGACUGAGACACGGCCCAGACUCCUACGGGAGGCAGCAGUGGGGAAUUUUGGACAAUGGGCGAAAGCCUGAUCCAGCAAUGCCGCGUGCAGGAUGAAGGCCUUCGGGUUGUAAACUGCUUUUGUACGGAACGAAAAGCCCCGGGUUAAUACCCUGGGGUCAUGACGGUACCGUAAGAAUAAGCACCGGCUAACUACGUGCCAGCCGCCGCAGUAA